RNAcentral lists this long non-coding RNA (647 nucleotides) under Nicotiana benthamiana. RNAcentral's name for it is "long non-coding RNA (NBEN_LNC021169)". The record is from RNAcentral. Lineage: Eukaryota; Viridiplantae; Streptophyta; Magnoliopsida; Solanales; Solanaceae.
AGUUCCCAUCAACACUAUGACUCCCACUAGACUGUAAAUCAAGCAUCAUUUUGGGAGCUCUAGUCUUACAAAACUCCUUCCAGAGCACUCUCUUUGCAAGGUCAUCAAACCAUUUGCAUACACAAGAUAAAGUUGCUAUCGACUUGGGAUUCCAAUUCAAUUGCUGAAAAACCAGAAAUAUAAUUUCUUCACUAAGAUGCCCUUUUGUACACUUACAACUUGCUGAGGUUGCAAUCGACUUGGGAUUCCAAUUCAAUUGCUGAAAAAUCAGAAAUAUAAUUUCUUCGCUAAGAUGCCCUUUUGUACACUUACAACUUGCUGAGUGUAUGCAGCGAUACUGCUUAGUAAUGAUCAUCGUCUACAACUGCAGCCACCACAAUUGAAAUGACAACAAAAGUUAGAUCGUAUAUUUCUAGUAAUUUAACAAAGAUGACAUCAAAUACCAAAGAUACUUCAAAUUGGCGGUAAAAAGUGUAAGAUCAAGGACUGCUUAGUGGCAUAAACAAUGAAAAUAUAACUCUAGUCGACAACCCUAUAUACGAACCAAUCAUGCUAGUAUGCUGAACAUAAGAUCAGACGAUUUCCAAAAGCCCCAUUCAAUAGAAAGUAAUCUCUCUGCUUAUCACUUGAUAGUUUUACUUUUACCA